Molecule: ribosomal RNA, 253 nt
Filed under: uncultured bacterium
Lineage: Bacteria
Description: partial 16S ribosomal RNA
Rfam family: Bacterial small subunit ribosomal RNA
Source: RNAcentral
UACGUAGGUGGCAAGCGUUGUCCGGAUUUACUGGGCGUAAAGAGCGCGCAGGCGGUCGUUCAAGUCGCGUGUGAAAGCCCCCGGCUCAACUGGGGAGGGUCACGCGAUACUGAUCGACUCGAAGGCAGGAGAGGGUAGUGGAAUUCCCGGUGUAGUGGAGAAAUGCGUAGAUAUCGGGAGGAACACCAGUGGCGAAGGCGACUACCUGGCCUGUUCUUGACGCUGAGGCGCGAAAGCUAGGGGAGCAAACGGG